CAACCUCAACUCAUAUGGGACUACCCCCUGAAUUUAAGCAUAUUAAUUAGGGGAGGAAAAGAAACUAACAAGGAUUUUCUUAGUAGCGGCGAGCGAAAAGAAAUCAGUUCAGCACUAAGUCACCUUGUCUUUAUGGCAAAUGUGAGAUGCAGUGUAUGGAAUGUCUAAAUUCUAAUAUGAGAAAUUAACGAUUUAAGUCCUUCUUAAAUGAGGCCAUUUACCCAUAGAGGGUGCCAGGCCCGUAUAACGUUUAUGAUUAUUAGAAGGCAUUUCCAAAGAGUCGUGUUGCUUGAUAGUGCAGCACUAAGUGGGUGGUAAACUCCAUCUAAAACUAAAUAUAACCAUGAGACCGAUAGUAAACAAGUACCGUGAGGGAAAGUUGAAAAGAACUCUGAAUAGAGAGUUAAAUAGUACGUGAAACUGCUUAGAGGUUAAGCCCGAUGAACCUGAAUAUCCAUUAUAGAAAAUUCAUCAUUAAAAUUGUAAUAUAAUUAAUUUUAAUAUUAUAAUGAUAGUGUGCAUUUUUUCUAUAUAAGGACAUUGUAAUCUAUUAAUAUUAAAUAACACAAAAAAUUUAUCAAAAAAUUAUAAACUUGUAGUUUAUUCAAAUUAUUUUACUUUAUUGUAUUAUAACAUAGAAUAAGUGUUUAUUUGAUUUGAUAAAGUAUUGAUAGAUUUAAAAUAUACAAUGCAAUAAUUAUUUAAAACUAUAUAAUGGCAUAUAUAUGAAUUUAUAUGUGUUUUAUUAUAUGCAUUUGUAUGAUUAACAAUGCGAAAGAUUCAGGAUACCUUCGGGACCCGUCUUGAAACACGGACCAAGGAGUCUAACAUAUAUGCAAGUCAUUGGGAUAAUAUUAUUAUAAACCUAAUGGCAUAAUUAACUUGACUUAUUAUUUUAAAUGGGAUUAGUUUUUAAUUCUAUAUAUAUAGUUUUAUUAACACAAUCCCGGGGCGUUCUAUAUAGUUAUGUAUAAUGAUAUUUUUUAAAUAUUAUUUAUAUCUCUAACUGGAACGUACCUUGAGCAUAUAUGCUGUGACCCGAAAGAUGGUGAAC
Molecule: ribosomal RNA, 1054 nt
Filed under: Pseudostegana amoena
Lineage: Eukaryota; Metazoa; Arthropoda; Insecta; Diptera; Drosophilidae
Description: eukaryotic LSU rRNA
Rfam family: Eukaryotic large subunit ribosomal RNA
Source: RNAcentral